GCUACGACUUUAAGAGUCAUGAGGUGGGCCGCAGUGGCAAAGAACAAAUGAAAAGCCCCAGAUCUUUUAAAGUAUUUGUAUUAAUAAGGCAAGAGCCAAAAAGCAUGCUCACUCUUGUUUUUGCAAAUUGCGUGGUCUAGGACUGCUCUAUAAUCCAAUCAGAGAGGGACUAGGCUGAUUGACUCUUCAGGCAGCUAAUCAGAGUGUCCAGAAGUCUUUUUCUUUUAGCAACUCAGAAGAAUUGAAUCACCAUUUUGGUUAGAGAGCAGGUAGCUUGGCUGGCUAACUGUUGACCCAUUUUAUCUGAAAAUAUUGCAAGAAGGAAAGUAAUGAAUAUGGCACAUAUAUGUGGAAGAUUGAACAUGCUUAACAAAAUCUAUACGAACACUGACCAUCUUCACUGCUCUCCUCUGAACCUGUUCCAGGGUCUACAAUCUUCUUAAAAACUGGACACAGUACUGCAGAAGGGGUCUAACACACAAGAAUGAAAUGACACUAUUAUUUCUUGUGACUUGGAAGCAAUGGUUCUAUUAGUGGCACCAGCCUAUUUUCAGCUGCAUCAUAGACCCCUUUCCACAUGUGCUACUGCCAAGCCAGAUAUCCACCUUUCCAUACCUUGGCAUUUCAUUAUUUUUUGCCUAAUUGCAGAACUUAAUUAAUUAAUUAGAUUUUUAUACUGCCCUGCCAAAAAUACCGCCGUUCCAAAAACCGCUCAGGGCAGUUUAUAUUAAAAGAAAACUAAAACCAAUUAACUGUUAAGAUCAAAAACUGUAAAAACAACAUAAAACCAUUAUUAAAACAAUUAAAACAGUUUAAGAUAACAUUAUAUUUGUUUUUGUUGAGUUUCAUUUUGUUCAUUUCAGCCCAGUUUUCCACUCUAUCCAAGGUCAUUUUGCAUGUUCUUAC
Long non-coding RNA from Hemicordylus capensis (graceful crag lizard), 906 nucleotides. RefSeq lists it as uncharacterized. NCBI's taxonomy places the organism in Eukaryota, Metazoa, Chordata, Lepidosauria, Squamata, Cordylidae. The transcript has 3 exons. The record is from RefSeq and is a predicted model, not a curated record.